RNAcentral lists this unclassified non-coding RNA (2638 nucleotides) under Hevea brasiliensis (rubber tree). The record is from RNAcentral. Lineage: Eukaryota; Viridiplantae; Streptophyta; Magnoliopsida; Malpighiales; Euphorbiaceae.
GUGGCCACGUAAUAUACGCGGAGAGAGACAAGGGUGUCCCAAACUCGUUGGACACGAUCUCUGCAUCUCGCUCUCUCUUGCUUGGUAAACCUAAGGUUGCUCUCUCCCUCUCUGAUUUUGAUCUUACAUAGGUCGCUCUCUCUCUGUUUCUGUAGUUUUUGUUUGCGCACAGAGGGAAUUUGAUUCGUGGGUUGAAUUGAUUUGGAGGAGAAAGGAUGGCCGCACCACCAGCAAGGGCUCGUACUGAUUACGAUUGCUUGAUUAAGCUUCUCUUGAUUGGGGAUAGCGGUGUCGGGAAGAGUUGUCUGCUACUGCGCUUCUCUGAUGGUUCCUUCACAACCAGUUUCAUUACCACUAUUGGGUUUAUAUCUUUGAAAACUCUGCUAUCUUUGUUUUGCAAAACUAUUUUGGCAUUAUUUUCCAACUUUAGUGUUGAGUAGUAGGUUAAUUAUAUUUAGCAGGACAUGAAUUUUGAGAUGUAGGCUAAUAUAUUAAGUAUGACUUUGAUGUUGAGAGAAGUAGGUUAAUGAUUAUUAGCAGUAGGUUCUGCUCAUGCAAAUUAAGUUAGAAAUCAGUGGAUAGUUAAUCUUUCAGCUAUGCUUGUAAUUGUUCUGUGGAGAGUCUAGAAUAUGGCUGUUCACAUAUGUUCAAUAUAUUAGUCUAUUGCUGAAAGAUAAAAGCUUCAUUUCAUUUUUUUAUCCACUUCUUUACUUCUUUGAACAGCAUUGACUUUAAAAUAAGAACAAUCGAGCUUCAUGGAAAACGGAUUAAAUUGCAAAUCUGGGAUACAGCAGGUCAGGAGCGUUUUCGAACUAUCACAACAGGUUUGUCUUUGGGCUGCUACCUGUUGACCUUUUGUUUUCAAAAUUUUUGGGUGGUUUUGUAGAUGCUGCUUUCCUUAUUUGCAUUUGAAAGUUUUCAUAUAAUGCAUCAGCAUUGUAUAUCCUUCAACCCUGGAGACUGCAGUGUGACUUCACCUGGCUGUUGAGCGUACUGAAUGUGAAUAAGAAGGAAAACAAUAUUUUUGAAACCUUAAAGGCAAACAAUCUCCAAGGGGAAAAAGAGUGUGCAAAUAAAAGCUUUUGAUUGAAAAUUGGGGAAGCUCAUAUAUAUAGGAUAAAUCGAUCAAGUUGAUAAGAUUGUUGGUUGCUUGUAUUUGGAUGAACUGCCGUAUAUUAUGAGGAGGGAUAAGUUAAGUUAAAUGCUUAUUUUUGCUCAUUUAAAUGCUUUCAUUCCAUUUUUAUUGUGAAUUGUGUUUUUCAUUAUUUUUGGAUAGUGCUGGAAUUUGCUUACGUAUUUUAUAUUUUUCUGCAGCAUAUUAUCGUGGAGCCAUGGGGAUUUUGCUGGUGUAUGAUGUUACUGAUGAAUCGUCUUUCAACAGUAAAUUCACCUUAUAUGUUCCUCUCAGUUUUUAAUUUGAAAAGAUUUGUUGAAUAUGCUAAUCAUAAUGUUCGUGUUUUGUCACCAUAUCUAGUGCUUGCAUUUUUCCUUUCUUUGUUCUUGGUAAUCAAUAAAAUAUGUUUUUCAUUUGAUUCUUACUCAGUAGUUUGCUGGGAUGGAUGACCCAAAAUCUUUGAUAGAGCGGAGCUUCUCCAUAUCCUGAAACUUUUUCUUCUAUGUUUAAACUUUCAUCCCUUGAAUGCUUAUGGAUAUUGCUUCUCUUCAUGAUCAGAUAUUAGGAACUGGAUUCGCAAUAUUGAGCAACAUGCCUCUGACAAUGUCAACAAAAUACUGGUGGGAAACAAGGCAGACAUGGAUGAAAGUAAAAGGGUAGGUAACCUAGUGGAUAUACUUGUUUCCUCACCUGGUAGAUUGGACCAUGAAUUUAUCAAUUCCUCUCUCUCCAUAUGUGUGCGUGUGUGUGCGCGUUAUGUUGUGCCAUCCACUGAUCAGGAAGGUAGUCUCUGUUGUUUCCUUAGGCUGUGCCUACAUCCAAGGGUCAAGCACUUGCUGAUGAGUAUGGUAUCAAAUUCUUCGAAACUAGUGCAAAAACAAACUUGAAUGUGGAGGAGGUUUUCUUUUCCAUUGCAAGGGAUAUCAAGAAAAGGCUUGCAGAAACUGAUUCCAAGGCUGAGGUAAUUUUUUGUUUUUAUUUUGUUGCAUUAUAUUUCCUUUUUUUUCCCCUCUUUCUGAUAAGUUAGAUUUAUACCAUUUUACAGAGGAAUCCUUUGUUAUUUCUUUCUUUUUUUCUUACCUGCCUAUAGUUCUUUUCAAAUGAUGGUAUAUUUCUGCAUUUUUUCCUUGGUGCUACCAGCCUCAAACAAUCAAGAUCAACCAACCAAACCAGGCAGCCAGUGAUGGCCAAGCAGCCCAAAAGUCAGCUUGCUGCGGUUCAUAAAGGGGAAGUUAAAAUACAGACCGAAGGGGGAAGGUUAUUCCAGUGGCGCCCGUUGGGGUAUAAAAUUGAUUCUGAUGACAUUGUGCUGGGCCCAGUUAUUUGUGCCCUUGUUAUUUUUCCCAAUUACCAACCUUAGUGUGUUUGAGGCAGUAUUUUAUUUGAUUAAUAUUUGGAAUUUAUUAUGACACCCUUUUACAUUUCCUUUGGGGCUCGAACUCAUUUGACUAGUGUUCAUGUAGAUAGAUAAUCAAAAUUUAGCUCAUUUCUUCUGAUAUAUGAUAUCUAGAGUUGUUUGUGCCA